This is a long non-coding RNA of Oncorhynchus keta (chum salmon), 466 nucleotides long. RefSeq lists it as uncharacterized. Lineage: Eukaryota; Metazoa; Chordata; Actinopteri; Salmoniformes; Salmonidae. The transcript has 3 exons. The record is from RefSeq and is a predicted model, not a curated record.
CUGUAGACUGAGGGUAGGAGGGGUUCUGUAGACUGAGGGUAGGAGGAGUUCUGUAGACUGAGGGUAGGAGGAGUUCUGUAGACUGAGGGUAGGAGGGGUUCUGUAGACUGAGGGUAGGAGGGGUUCUGUAGACUGAGGGUAGGAGGGUUCUGUAGACUGAGGGUAGGAGGAGUUCUGUAGACUGAGGGUAGGAGGGGUUCUGUAGACUGAGGGUAGGAGGAGUUCUGUAGACUGAGGGUAGGAGGAGUUCUGUAGACUGAGGGUAGGAGGGGUUCUGUAGACUGAGGGUAGGAGGGGUUCUGUAGACUGAGGGUAGGAGGGGUUCUGUAGACUGAGGGUAGGAGGGGUUCUAUAGACUGAGGGUAGGAGGAGUUCUGUAGACUGAGGGUAGGAGGGGUUCUAUAGACUGAGGGUAGGAGGAGUUCUGUAGACUGAGGGUAGGAGGGGUUCUAUAGACUGAGGGUAG